AUUCCAUGGUUUGGGCAUUUCCUCAUCAUCUCAUUAAACCUAUUUCAUGCCUCGUGGUAGCUUUCUUCCUCUUUCUGUUGAAAGGUUUGAAUCUCCAAUUUGAUUUU
Molecule: small nucleolar RNA, 107 nt
Filed under: Olea europaea subsp. europaea
Lineage: Eukaryota; Viridiplantae; Streptophyta; Magnoliopsida; Lamiales; Oleaceae
Description: Plant small nucleolar RNA R71
Rfam family: Plant small nucleolar RNA R71
About the family: R71 is a member of the C/D box family of snoRNAs containing the C (UGAUGA) and D (CUGA) box motifs.
Source: Rfam by way of RNAcentral